GCCAAACAGCUAGCUCAAUUACCCAAUAACUAAACAAUAUAAAUAAAACAAAAUAAGCCUAACACCAAAAAUUAAAUCAUUCUUUUACCUUAGUAUGGGCGACAGAAAAGGUUACACCUGGAGCAAUAGAAAAAGUACCGCAAGGGAAAGCUGAAAGAGAAAUGAAAUAACUUAUAUAAGCACCAAAAAGCAAAGAUUAAAUCUUGUACCUUUCGCAUCAUGAUUUAGCCAGUAUAUCCAAGCAAAGAGACCUUUAGUUUGAAACCCCGAAACCAAGUGAGCUACCCCGAGACAGCCUAUUAAGGGCCAACCCGUCUCUGUGGCAAAAGAGUGGGAAGAGCUCCGGGUAGAGGUGACAGACCUACCGAACUUGGUGAUAGCUGGUUGCCUAAGAAGUGAAUAGAAGUUCAGCCUCGUACUCCCUGAGUCAAAAGAUAUAAAAAGAUAUUAGAGGGAAAUAUAUGAGAGUUAGUUAAAGGGGGUACAGCCCCUUUAACAAAGGACACAACCUUUCCAGGAGGAUAAAGAUCAUAAUACAUAAGACAUCCUGUUCUAGUGGGCCUAAAGGCAGCCAUCUAAACAGAAAGCGUUAAAGCUCAGACAGAAAUAAGUUUAUUAUUCCGACAAGAAAUCUUACUCCCCUAAAUAUUAUUAGGCCAGCCCAUGCCCACAUGGGAGAGACUAUGCUAAAAUGAGUAACAAGAAGGCCAGCCCUUCUCCAAGCACAAGUGUAAGCCAAACCGGACCGACCAUUGGCAAUUAACGAACUCAACCCGAGAGAGUAAUGUGUAUUACAACGAAACCAGGAAGAACCCACAAUUAACCCAUCGUUACCCCCACACUGGCGUGCUAUUAAAGGAAAGACUAAAAGAAGGGAAAGGAACUCGGCAAACACAAGCCUCGCCUGUUUACCAAAAACAUCGCCUCCUGCAACACAACCAAGUAUAGGAGGUCCAGCCUGCCCAGUGACUACAAGUUCAACGGCCGCGGUAUUUUGACCGUGCAAAGGUAGCGCAAUCACUUGUCUCUUAAAUGGAGACCUGUAUGAAUGGCUAAACGAGGGCUUAACUGUCUCCCCCCUCCAGUCAGUGAAAUUGAUCUACCCGUGCAGAAGCGGG
RNAcentral lists this ribosomal RNA (1118 nucleotides) under Schizopygopsis stoliczkai (false osman). RNAcentral describes it as "partial 16S ribosomal RNA". It matches the Rfam family "Bacterial large subunit ribosomal RNA", at positions 157 to 2065 of the family's 2925-position model. The record is from RNAcentral. Lineage: Eukaryota; Metazoa; Chordata; Actinopteri; Cypriniformes; Cyprinidae.